AGAAGAGCUUGCUCUUUGGGUGACGAGUGGGGACGGGUGAGUAAUGUCUGGGGAUCUGCCCGGCAGAGGGGGAUAACUACUGGAAACGGUAGCUAAUACCGCAUAACCUCGCAAGAGCAAAGAGGGGGACCUUCGGGCCUCUCGCUGUCGGAUGAACCCAGAUGGGAUUAGCUAGUAGGUGAGGUAACGGCUCACCCAGGCGACGAUCCCUAGCUGGUCUGAGAGGAUGACCAGCCAC
Molecule: ribosomal RNA, 238 nt
Filed under: uncultured bacterium
Lineage: Bacteria
Description: partial 16S ribosomal RNA
Rfam family: Bacterial small subunit ribosomal RNA
Source: RNAcentral